Molecule: ribosomal RNA, 465 nt
Filed under: uncultured bacterium
Lineage: Bacteria
Description: partial 16S ribosomal RNA
Rfam family: Bacterial small subunit ribosomal RNA
Source: RNAcentral
ACGAACGCUGGCGGCGUGCUUAACCCAUGCAAGUCGAACGGAAAGGCCUCUUUCGGGGGGUACUCGAGUGGCGAACGGGUGAGUAACACGUGAGUAACCUGCCCUUGACUUUGGGAUAACUUCAGGAAACUGGGGCUAAUACCGGAUAGGAGCUCCUGCUGCAUGGUGGGGGUUGGAAAGUUUCGGCGGUUGGGGAUGGACUCGCGGCUUAUCAGCUUGUUGGUGGGGUAGUGGCUUACCAAGGCUUUGACGGGUAGCCGGCCUGAGAGGGUGACCGGCCACAUUGGGACUGAGAUACGGCCCAGACUCCUACGGGAGGCAGCAGUGGGGAAUAUUGCACAAUGGGUGGAAGCCUGAUGCAGCAACGCCGUGUGCGGGAUGACGGCCUUCGGGUUGUAAACCGCUUUCGCUCAUGACGAAGCUUUGUGUGACGGUAGUGGGUAAAGAAGCACCGGCUAACUACGU